This 411-nucleotide ribosomal RNA is filed under the name Verrucomicrobiota bacterium. Its description in RNAcentral is "Verrucomicrobia bacterium partial 16S ribosomal RNA". It matches the Rfam family "Bacterial small subunit ribosomal RNA", at positions 355 to 776 of the family's 1533-position model. Lineage: Bacteria; Pseudomonadati; Verrucomicrobiota. The record is from RNAcentral.
UGGGGAAUAUUGCGCAAUGGGGGAAACCCUGACGCAGCGACGCCGCGUGCGGGAUGAAGGCCUUCGGGUUGUAAACCGCUUUUGAUUGGGAGCAAGCCUUUUGGGUGAGUGUACCUUUCGAAUAAGCGCCGGCUAACUACGUGCCAGCAGCCGCGGUAAUACGUAGGGCGCAAGCGUUAUCCGGAAUUAUUGGGCGUAAAGGGUACGUAGGCGGUUUUUUAAGUCAGGUGUCAAAGCGUGGAGCUUAACUCCAUUAAGCACUUGAAACUGAAAGACUUGAGUGAAGGAGAGGAAAGUGGAAUUCCUAGUGUAGCGGUGAAAUGCGUAGAUAUUAGGAGGAAUACCGGUGGCGAAGGCGACUUUCUGGACUUUUACUGACGCUCAGGUACGAAAGCGUGGGGAGCAAACAGG